GCUGUUUCACUCCACGGCAUGGGCAGCGGACAAGUAAAGAAAAGGAGAAGACCCGUGCGGCUCACGGUGCGGCAGUGUGGAGACCUGUCGUAAUGCAUUUACUCUUUUACCGGGUAUUUGUGAGGCAUUCGUUAGCGGAGGCUGGGAUGUCAGGGCCGGAAAAAUG
RNAcentral lists this non-coding RNA (166 nucleotides) under bovine gut metagenome. RNAcentral describes it as "malK-I RNA". It matches the Rfam family "malK-I RNA". The record is from RNAcentral.